GACGAACGCUGGCGGCGUGCUUAACACAUGCAAGUCGAGCGGAAAGGCCUCUUCGGGGGUACUCGAGCGGCGAACGGGUGAGUAACACGUGAGUAACCUGCCUUUGGCUUUGGGAUAACCCUCGGAAACGGGGGCUAAUACCGGAUAUGAUUUCUCACCGCAUGGUGGGGGGUGGAAAGUUUUUUCGGCCAGGGAUGGGCUCGCGGCCUAUCAGCUUGUUGGUGGGGUGAUGGCCUACCAAGGCGGUGACGGGUAGCCGGCCUGAGAGGGCGACCGGCCACACUGGGACUGAGACACGGCCCAGACUCCUACGGGAGGCAGCAGUGGGGAAUAUUGCACAAUGGGCGCAAGCCUGAUGCAGCGACGCCGCGUGGGGGAUGACGGCCUUCGGGUUGUAAACCUCUUUCGGCAGGGACGAAGCCUUUUGGGGUGACGGUACCUGUAGAAGAAGCGCCGGCCAACUACGUGCCAGCAGCCGCCGUAAAAC
RNAcentral lists this ribosomal RNA (487 nucleotides) under uncultured bacterium. RNAcentral's name for it is "bacterial SSU rRNA". It matches the Rfam family "Bacterial small subunit ribosomal RNA", at positions 28 to 526 of the family's 1533-position model. The record is from RNAcentral.